CCUACGGGUGGCAGCAGUGGGGAAUAUUGCACAAUGGGCGCAAGCCUGAUGCAGCCAUGCCGCGUGUAUGAAGAAGGCCUUCGGGUUGUAAAGUACUUUCAGCGGGGAGGAAGGUGCUGAGGUUAAUAACCUCAGCAAUUGACGUUACCCGCAGAAGAAGCACCGGCUAACUCCGUGCCAGCAGCCGCGGUAAUACGGAGGGUGCAAGCGUUAAUCGGAAUUACUGGGCGUAAAGCGCACGCAGGCGGUCUGUCAAGUCGGAUGUGAAAUCCCCGGGCUCAACCUGGGAACUGCAUUCGAAACUGGCAGGCUGGAGUCUUGUAGAGGGGGGUAGAAUUCCAGGUGUAGCGGUGAAAUGCGUAGAGAUCUGGAGGAAUACCGGUGGCGAAGGCGGCCCCCUGGACAAAGACUGACGCUCAGGUGCGAAAGCGUGGGGAGCAAACAGGAUUAGAUACCCUAGUAGUC
Molecule: ribosomal RNA, 465 nt
Filed under: uncultured Enterobacter sp.
Lineage: Bacteria; Pseudomonadati; Pseudomonadota; Gammaproteobacteria; Enterobacterales; Enterobacteriaceae
Description: bacterial SSU rRNA
Rfam family: Bacterial small subunit ribosomal RNA
Source: RNAcentral